This 253-nucleotide ribosomal RNA is filed under the name uncultured bacterium. RNAcentral's name for it is "partial 16S ribosomal RNA". It matches the Rfam family "Bacterial small subunit ribosomal RNA", at positions 524 to 776 of the family's 1533-position model. The record is from RNAcentral.
UACAGAGGGGGCAAGCGUUGUUCGGAAUUACUGGGCGUAAAGGGCUCGUAGGCGGCCAACUAAGUCAGACGUGAAAUCCCUCGGCUUAACCGGGGAACUGCAUCUGAUACUGGAUGGCUUGAGUUCGGGAGAGGGAUGCGGAAUUCCAGGUGUAGCGGUGAAAUGCGUAGAUAUCUGGAGGAAUACCGGUGGCGAAGGCGGCAUCCUGGACCGGCAUUGACGCUGAGGAGCGAAAGCCAGGGGAGCAAACGGG